GAUGAACGCUGGCGGUGUGCCUAACACAUGCAAGUCGAACGGUUAAACCGGCUUCGGCCGGAAAUAAAGUGGCGAACGGGUGAGUAACGCGUGACCGACCUUCCCCCCGCACCGGGACAACCGCGGGAAACCGCGGCUGAUACCGGGUACUCCGGGGCCCCCGCAUGGGGGCCCCGGGAAAGCUCCGGCGGCGGGGGAUGGGGUCGCGUCCCAUCAGGUAGUAGGCGGGGCAACGGCCCACCUAGCCGACGACGGGUAGCCGGGUUGAGAGACCGACCGGCCACAUUGGGACUGAGAUACGGCCCAGACUCCUACGGGAGGCAGCAGUGGGGAAUUUUGCGCAAUGGGGGCAACCCUGACGCAGCAACGCCGCGUGCGGGACGACGGCCUUCGGGUUGUAAACCGCUUUCAGCAGGGAAGAACCUAUGACGGUACCUGCAGAAGAAGC
Molecule: ribosomal RNA, 448 nt
Filed under: uncultured bacterium
Lineage: Bacteria
Description: bacterial SSU rRNA
Rfam family: Bacterial small subunit ribosomal RNA
Source: RNAcentral